CAAAUCUUUUGUGUGGUGGUGGCUAGUGGUUGGGGGAGUGGUGGUGGUGCUGGUUAAUUUCCAGCCUCAUCGCACUCACUCACUCGCACCCCUCACCCACAACAUAUGCACAGGGCCGCAAGGCUCUGAUGUUUACGCUUGUUUGUUUGACAGAUUUAUAUGUGAUUAAAAUUGA
This 175-nucleotide unclassified non-coding RNA is filed under the name uncultured fungus. RNAcentral describes it as "sequence contains ITS1, 5.8S rRNA gene". Lineage: Eukaryota; Fungi. The record is from RNAcentral.